Molecule: long non-coding RNA, 240 nt
Filed under: Sorghum bicolor (sorghum)
Lineage: Eukaryota; Viridiplantae; Streptophyta; Magnoliopsida; Poales; Poaceae
Description: long non-coding RNA (SBIC_LNC017269)
Source: RNAcentral
CAAGGAUAACCGUUCAAUCAAUGUCGUUUUGAUCCAACGGUCCAGAUUCACUUGAAGGGACUAUAUAAGCAGACCCCCUGGCCCCUGGAGGAGAACAAGUUCAUCAUAGAGUUGAGAGGAGCCCUCGAAGGAUAACCUCUCCUCUAAAUAGACUUAGGGUUUAGCAUCUAAUGUGAAGUAGACUAAUUCUACUAGAUUGAGAGAGAUAGAGUGGAGGUGUAGAUCGGAGGAAGCCCGGCC